This 541-nucleotide ribosomal RNA is filed under the name uncultured bacterium. RNAcentral's name for it is "partial 16S ribosomal RNA". It matches the Rfam family "Bacterial small subunit ribosomal RNA", at positions 354 to 888 of the family's 1533-position model. The record is from RNAcentral.
UGGGGGAAUUUUGGACAAUGGGCGAAAGCCUGAUCCAGCAAUGCCGCGUGUGUGAAGAAGGCCUUCGGGUUGUAAAGCACUUUUGUCCGGAAAGAAAUCCUCUGGGUUAAUACCUCGGGGGGAUGACGGUACCGGAAGAAUAAGCACCGGCUAACUACGUGCCAGCAGCCGCGGUAAUACGUAGGGUGCAAGCGUUAAUCGGAAUUACUGGGCGUAAAGCGUGCGCAGGCGGUUUUGUAAGACGGAUGUGAAAUCCCCGGGCUUAACCUGGGAACUGCAUUCGUGACUGCAAGGCUAGAGUAUGGCAGAGGGGGGUAGAAUUCCACGUGUAGCAGUGAAAUGCGUAGAGAUGUGGAGGAAUACCGAUGGCGAAGGCAGCCCCCUGGGCCAAUACUGACGCUCAUGCACGAAAGCGUGGGGAGCAAACAGGAUUAGAUACCCUGGUAGUCCACGCCCUAAACGAUGUCAACUAGUUGUUGGGGAUUCAUUUCCUUAGUAACGUAGCUAACGCGUGAAGUUGACCGCCUGGGGAGUACGGUCG